UGUUGUUUAACUAUGGCAAUAGGAAGCGUUAGGUAACUUAAUUGCAUAAAAUUUGUUUAUUUUACUGUUUUAACAUUUUGUUUGGAAUUAUUAGCAAUUAACAUUUUGAUGGAACUAUCGUUUUUUAAGAAGUUACUUUGAAAAGGGGAUAGGACACAGUGCCAGCAUCCGCGGUUAAUCUGUAUUCUUUGCUUUCAUUUGAGAAGGUUUCAGUCGAUUAAGAUGAAGGUUUGGUGAAAUUUUCUUGAUUUUAUUUUUAGCAUCUGGUUGAAAUUAAUAUAGAACUAAACGACAGGGAUUAGAUACCCCAGUAGUUUUUAUUGUAUUUUUCUCUAGUUAUAAUAACUAAAAUAGUUUGGCAGCGAGUUAAUCCUAUCGGGGGAAGGUGUGUCGUAAAGGACGAUCCGCCUAUAAAAUCACCUGUUCUAUGUUGGUGUAUAUCUGGUUUGAUAUUAUUGCUUAAUAGCUGAAUUUGUGCAUUAGAAUUUAAGCCAAGUCUAUGUGCUGCAUGAGCAGGGGACUCAUGCGUUACUUUUAUAAACAUGUUUUUGUGAAUUAAACAUUUUUUAGGACUCGAAAGUAAAACAGGAUUAUAUCGCCUGUGCGAAACUGGUUUGGCUCGGGUACACACCGCCCGUCACCCUCGACACCUGUUGAGGUAAGUCGUAACAUGGUAACCCUAAAUGAAUUUAGGGUUAAUUGCGGUGA
RNAcentral lists this ribosomal RNA (708 nucleotides) under Spongiobothrium sp. MZUSP 7999. Its description in RNAcentral is "12S ribosomal RNA". The record is from RNAcentral. Lineage: Eukaryota; Metazoa; Platyhelminthes; Cestoda; Rhinebothriidea; Rhinebothriidae.